UACGGAGGAUGCAAGCGUUAUUCGGAAUGAUUGGGCGUAAAGCGUCCGCAGGUGGCUGUGUAAGUCUGCUGUCAAAGAGCGAAGCUCAACUUCGUAAAGGCAGUGGAAACUACACGGCUAGAGUGCGUUCGGGGCAGAGGGAAUUCCUGGUGUAGCGGUGAAAUGCGUAGAGAUCAGGAAGAACACCGGUGGCGAAGGCGCUCUGCUAGGCCGCAACUGACACUGAGGGACGAAAGCUAGGGGAGCGAACAGG
RNAcentral lists this ribosomal RNA (253 nucleotides) under uncultured bacterium. Its description in RNAcentral is "partial 16S ribosomal RNA". It matches the Rfam family "Bacterial small subunit ribosomal RNA", at positions 524 to 776 of the family's 1533-position model. The record is from RNAcentral.